RNA transcript from Grammomys surdaster, 3622 nucleotides. It is a transcript of the gene named HCLS1 binding protein 3, with no coding region annotated. The transcript has 5 exons. NCBI's taxonomy places the organism in Eukaryota, Metazoa, Chordata, Mammalia, Rodentia, Muridae. The record is from RefSeq and is a predicted model, not a curated record.
GGGAGGUGGAUGAGUCUGGAAUGGCUCCACAAGGUCCCUGGGUGGCCAGAGGGGAGGCUGCUCUCAUGUGUCAAUCACUGUCACCAGAAGUGCCUGAGCCACGGAGAGUGAGCCACUUCUUGGCCAGACAGAGCUUUGGAGCUGUCGGCAGCAGCUGCCGCAUCUCCCUGAGUUUACUACGCCCGGCUCUGAACAUGGCCCGGCUGUGCAUCUGGCUCCUGUCAGACACACAGCAGGAGAACUGGAGGUCUGUACAUCAGCAUGAACAUGCUUACACAUGCCUGCAGCCGUGCAGGGGCUGCUACCUACCUCACAUAGCCCGGGCUGGAUAAGAUGCCUCUUUAGGUAGCCCUCAGGAUCUGCACAGGUUUGCCAGGAAGUCAGGAGCUGCAGACCAUGCCCUGUCAGUACGUGGCUUUCUCUCCUGUCAGUGCUGAGGUGAGCUGUGUGUCUGUGGACAGCUGGGUGGAGGCUGGCCUUGGGAAGCCUAGGAGGAAGAAUGCUCAGAGCCCCAGUGACUCAAAUCCAAAUGAAGUGAUGGGGCCCAUCCAUCCAACACUUAGCUUACAGUUCUUGUGUUGGUGCCGUGAUGUCCCCUCCAGCAUUUACCCUGACCUCCUCAGCCUCCCGUGCAGCUUUGUUCCUCAAACCAGACCAUAUAGUCUGUGAGCAAAGUUCUAUGAGGGACAGCUUCCCCCUUCCUCAUCACCUUGCAGGGUUUAUGUUCCUGGUUAUGCCACCAUCAGACUCCUUCAGUGUGCAGGGUGACUGACAGCUGGUCUACCAGAAAUGCCCCUCUACCCUCAGCCCACUAGGUCAGCUGCCUGUUUCCAUUACCUCCUCCAGGAAUCCUCCCUGUGCCUUCAUUGACUCCAUCCUUUUGUGCUCCAGCUGUGACAGCCUGGCUUUUCCUAGGUAGAAUGACCUGGUGUCUGUUGCUGACUCUGGGAACAGUUGUGUAUACAUCGCAGGGGCGUCUGUCCUCAUCACCUAGAGCAGGCACCGCUACGUGGGAGGUGCUUGGGGAGCUCUGUCUGAGGAGGAGGAAUGGACAGGCUGCUUGCAGCUGAAAGGCUGGCAGGGGGUAUUGUUAGAAGAGAGGCAAUGGAACAAAAAAAAAAGGGCUUUGUAAACAUGAGCUCUGAACUGCUGUUCUGACCCCUCAUUCCCUGUCUUACAACUCUGUCUGUCUGUCUGCCUGCCUCCCUGCCUGCCUGUUUCUCCUUCUCUCCUUCCAGUCAACUACUCUGUCUUCCUUCUAUCUGAUAACUAUCCAGCUACACAGGACAGAUGCCUAUCUGUCUGUCUGUCGGUCAGUUGGUCAGUCUAUCUGUCUGCCUGCAUGCCUUCUUCCUUCUAGUAUUUGCUGAACACCUUUCUGCAGUUUUGGGAUCAAUCAGACAAGACCCUAGGGCUUCCACGUCCCCUGAUGUCCCUUGUGUUCCCUUGGGAGAUCUGAGGACUUGGCAGACAGGAGUGCCGGGUGGACUGAGGUACAGUACAGACAGUGCCUGACUGAACACUUGUGAGCUGAACAUCUGCUUUAUUUCAGUUCAGCAAAAAUCACAGAUACCACCAAGGAGGACAAAGACGUGAGUAGUUUGAGAGAGAAGCUUGCCCAGAAGGAUGGUCUAGCUUCAUGUGAGCUUGUCCAGGCUAGACUGAGCAGAAGUGGGGCAGUGGUUGAAACCUCCCUUGCCUGGCUUCCAACCUGUUCUCUCCCACUUCCCUUCUUCAGAUGGUCCCUGCUCUGCUUUCUGCUGUUCUCAUCCACAGGAAACCUGGCUCCCCUGCCCUCUGGGCCUUUUGAGUGGGUAGCAUGUAUCCCCAAAGCUGGUUUCUGAGUAUGCAAGCAUAGGACACAGAGGGCAAAGCCACCAGAACGGCUGAGGAGCAGCCUCAAGCCUGCCUUCCUGAAGUGACUGGGCCAGGUGCUGCUUCAGCACCAAGAAGCCCAAGAAACACCCAGAAGUGGCCGUGAGGCCCAAGCCUUCACCUCGGUUCACCAUCUUUGAUGAGGAGAUAGAUCCUGACGCAGGACUCUUCAGCUCAGGCAAGAUGGUGUCCCCCAAGAGACCUCUGGAGACCUCACAGGACUCCCUGAAGCUGUUUGACGACCCUGACCUUGGCGGGGCUGUCUCCCUGGGUGACCCUUUACUGCUGUCGGCUGGCCAUGAGAGUAGAGGGCCCUCAUCGAGCCCAGAACACAGGUUUGUCUCCGAGGAUCUGUAAAGCCCCUGGGAAUCACAGCUUAAAGAAUGUCAGUUUUGCAUCCCUGUCUCCAUUAUCAGACAUCUGGUGGUGAAGAACUGACUUCUUGAGAGCAGGAGCCAGAAUUUACUUUUCUUUGUGCCUGCCUUGUUCCUGUUAGUGACCUGCUUCUUGGCAGAAGGCUUUUGCUCCGUCAUCACUGUUACCCACCCGCCUGGACAUUAGUUCUCCUGAAAUGAGUUGAAGAAGACCUGGACAAGAUUCUGAACCUGGGAUCUGAACCAAAACUCAAGCCCCAAACUAAGCCCAAGCCUCUAGUCCCAGCUAAGCCAGCAUUGCCCAGGAAAACAACUCUGCCUCCGUCAGUGGACCCAUCAGAAACUGAGGCUGGACCACAGAAGCAGGAACAGAUCCAAGCUAUGGAUGAAAUGGACACUUUGCAGUAUAUCCGGGACCAUGACACACUUGCACAAGACUCCCCAAGCCUCUUCUGACUUCCCCACAACCCUGCCCUUCAACCUAUGUUGGGCCUGGGGAGGAGGCCUGUCUGUGAAUAUGUGGGUUCUGCUGGCAAGGCAAGGACCACCAAUGGAAGUGGAACUCUGAAUCCCGCAGUCCCAGUACCACACCCUUUCUUUUUCUCCUGAGCUAUGGGAUGGACAAGGACUCUCUGCAGAAUGUGCAGCUGGGAACACCAUAGGAGUCAAGCUGCAUCAUCUCCACCCAGCAGGCUGUGAAAAGGAGGGUAUUUAUGAGCAUGUCUGGCUCAACAGGGCCCUGAACUCAAACAGGGAUUGAGAUCAGAGGACAGUGUCCCCCAGGGAAAGGAUAUCUUCUGCAUAUUUGGACCCACUGGCUCUGCCAGCUCAGCAUGGGAAGGGGUGUUUAUCCUGAGUCUAGGCUGGGCUAAAGGAGUACCUGGGACAGGCCACUCUGGGCUCUCUACUUGGCAUGGCUGCUAGGGCCCCAAGCUGUGUUCUGAGGAGGAAGUCCAGCUCUCCAGACUGCCCUGACCCAAGUCCCUUCUCAGUUUCUUCUGGCUUCCAAUGCUAAGAAGAAAACGCAGGCCCAGCCUUGCCUUUCUAGGGCAUGGAGGGCUUCCAGGAUGCCAAGACUUUCACGUCCUUUCCCAGGAAAGUGUCUGGCCAGCCCAUGGCCCUUUGGAUGUGGCUAUCAACAGAGGAGGUCUUAGCAUCUCCCAGAGUUUAGCCCAUUUGAGGCUCCGAGGCCUUGUCUGCCCUCAGGAUCUGAACUUGCUCUUUUGACUUUCUUCAGUGGAGCCACCAGCCAGAAGAGAAGGAGCUGUGCCCCAGAGCAAUCCUGUGCCUUCCAGUAGAUGCUGUUUUGUGGAGCAAAGAAUGUUAGAGUAUAUUCUUUGUGUCAGGAACUUAAAAAAAAAAAGAAACACAUA